Molecule: long non-coding RNA, 556 nt
Filed under: Marmota monax (woodchuck)
Lineage: Eukaryota; Metazoa; Chordata; Mammalia; Rodentia; Sciuridae
Source: RNAcentral
CUGUUUAAUGAGCUCUUCUUAUUCUGCACCAUACAUUGCACAAUGCUUUUGUGUCCACACUCUCUUUAUUCUUUGCAAGAAACUUACCUGGUAAGGAUUGUUAUUUUCCAUUUACAAUGGGGAUCCAGAGGAGCUGAGACUGUGUGAUGGGAUUUCAGGGUCCAAACCCAAACCCAGUGAUUUCAGUCACAGNCUGCCCCUCCGUGUGGUGAGCCCCUUGGCCCUGGAACAAGGAAAUAGGUCAGGUUUCCUGUUCACUGUUUCGCUUGAGGAGGCGAGUGAGUCACUGAAGCAAGAACCAGCUUUGUGGGCUUCCUGUUCGGCCUACCUUCUCAGAAGAGCCUGGGACAGAUUGUACUUACUGAUAAGUCGGCCCAGCUGGGUCUGCAUGAUCAGUCUGAGAAGCUGACCGAGUUUGCCUAAGGGCUAAGCCAAAAACCGCUUCCUGCUGCAGAAAACUGCGUGUGUGUGUGUGUGCUUUAGCUUGGGUUUGGGCGGAUAUAUAAGGGACAAGAGAUGAAUAAAGAGAGAGACUCCUGGAUGAAGAACCUCGGUG